AAAGAGGAUAAAAAGAGGAGAGAAAAAAAAAAAAAGGCAAAACAAAAAGCUCAACAGGAAACAAGAAGAGUGUGCAUGCAAUUUAACAUGACUGUCACAUUACGCUGUCUUAAGAAGUGAGAAUUAAGAGCCUGAAUUCAAUUCAGGAGAUGGUAGUGAAUGGAUGCAACAAUAAAAUCAUAAAAGGAGCUCCAUAAACAAAACUGAGGAUGAUUGAAGGAGGAACUGUUGGCGAGAGUUUAAAACCAUUGUUUCACAAAGGCCACUGUUUUCUUGAUUGCUUCAAGCUUGCAAAUUACUCAGUUCUGAAGAUCUAUUGUAAAGUCAACAGAAAGACACAGUGAAUAUGGACACAAGGCAGUUCUAGCAUAAGAGCUCAGAAGCAAGAUUUUCUCCCAGGUAUGGAUAGCAGCAAUGUUUCUCAGUAAUUGUAUUAGGAUGUGGCAUUGCCUGGACUCUCUGUAAAUAAGGCUGUGUUGACUAAUUUGCUGAAAAUAUUUCAAUUUUAGAAUAAAAUAUUGAACUUCAAGUACCGUGGCCUUUUU
Molecule: long non-coding RNA, 545 nt
Filed under: Anser cygnoides (Swan goose)
Lineage: Eukaryota; Metazoa; Chordata; Aves; Anseriformes; Anatidae
Description: lncRNA (ENSACDG00005014731.1)
Source: RNAcentral